UUAUUUGUGUUACCGGGUCAAUAUCUUUCCCAACUUUUGUUUCAUUAAAAAAGAAAACCUCUUCUCUCGAUCUCUCGAGCUCUACCAGUCUCUCUACCGCCCCUCUCAAUCUGAAAAGCAAGAGGGUGAAAGCUCGUCGACGUAGGCGCUGUGGAACUGGAUACAAGAUUUGUACCUGAAGAAGCUAUGGCAUCAACCUACUCUUGAGCUAGAAAGUUCAUUUCUCUCACAAUUUUCCAGAGAGAUCCUUUGAGGAUUUUCUAUGAGACAUUGUAUUAGCAAGUGGCCACCAGUGAACUGCCUGCAAUUUGGUGAGCAUUUUUUCAUUUCUAUUUAAGAAAUUUGUGUUUAUUAGUUUAUACUGUAAUAUGAGAUUGAAGAGAGGAAGAUUAGAAAUUUAGAACAGACUGAACGUUUAUGGUGUGUAAGUAGGCUUUUCAGAAGAAGGGAUGUACUAAUAAGGAAAGGGGUAAUCUUUUCCAGUUGUCGAAUCUCCCUCAUUAUGCUUGCACGAAAUUAUCAACUUUCAUAGAACUUGCAAUUUGUAAUUUUAGAGUUUAUGAUUCUUGUAUGGUUCUUGCCAAAGUCUAUGAGUUUAUGGUUGGGAAAAGAUGUCCAAUAGUAAACCUUUACAUACUUCAAUGGCCAACCUUUGCAUAUUCCAAGGAUUCUCCUGCUUGAGGGCUCAGGGGAUUAUAGUGACUUAGUUCCUGUAAUGUUUAUGGAUUAGGUUACUUUGCCAGCUUCGUUAAUGUAUUCCAGACUUGAGAAAUCAAUUUUACAUUAGUAUUUGUUGUUAGUUUACUUAUUCGAGGAAACCUUAGCUGCGAAGUAUUAGAUUAAAAGAUUGGCAGAGUAGGUGUUUUACUAUAUUGUACACCGUAGGUUCUUAUCCUAGAUUUAUAUCAUUUAACAAUGUCAUGAGCACCACUGUUGAGAUAACUUGUUAGUGGUGUUUGUUAUUCUGUCUUCUGUCUUUUGAUCUCUGAUCUACUGUUCUUUUUCUUGUUUGAGUCUAAAUAUUCUACAUAUUGGAUAAUUUCUUCCACCUUAUGCAAUCAGAAGCCUUUUAUCAUCAUCAGUAGUGCAAUUCUCAGCAUUGUAUACAAAUGCUAGGUGUGGUUGCUUGUUUCUUGUUAAGUGGUUUUGAUUGCCUUCUUUACACCGAACUCUUAAUUAGAGUCAAAUUCGUCACAACUGUUUAUAUAUAUAUAUAUAUAUAUAUAUAUAUAUAUAUAUAUAUAGGGGAGGGAUCCGGUGAGAACACCUCCUUAUGUGAGAACACUUCUUAUGGUGAGAACACUUUUACACUCUCUAUGUUCUAUAUUUGUUCAACAAUGUUCUAAAUUUUCAAACUCAUGUUCUAAAUUUAUUCAACCAUGUUCUAAAUUUAUUCAAGCAUGUUUUAAUUUUAUUCAACCAUGUUCUAAAUUUUUAACCUCAUGUUCUAGAUUAAUUCAAGCAUGUUCUAAAAUUAUUCAACCAUGUUCUAAAUUUUUAACCUCAUGUUCUAGAUUAAUUCAAGCAUGUUCUAAAAUUAUUCAACCAUGUUCUAAAUUUGUAAGCUCGUGUUCUAAAUUUAUUUAAGCAUGUUCUAAAUUUAUUCAAGCAUGUUCUAAAUUUAUUCAAACAUGUUCUAAAUUUAUUCAACGAUAUAUAUAUAUAUAUAUAUAUAUAUAUAUAUAUAUAUAUAUAUAUAUAUAUAUAUAUAUAUAUAUAUAUAUAUAUACACUCUUAUCUGAUUCCCUUUAAUGCAACUUUUUAGUUUGCUUAAACUUCCCAAGUAUCCCUAGAGAAGAUUACAUUUUGGGAUUUGAGUUCUAAGCAGUUGACUAAGAACCUCACCCUCCCUCAUUUCUUUUUAUUUCGUAGUUGCAUACUUCAGUUGACCUACUGUUUAAAAUAAGGGAACACAAAUGGGAAUUUAUUAAAUUUAUAUGCAUCCUGAAAAAACAAACCAAAAUGUAAUUAUUUUUUUUAUAUGUUCUUUGAAGAUCUUGGAGCUAGUAUCUCUUAUUUGCAGAUAUUUCGGGUUCCUUAUCCUAUCAUUUAGGAGACAGGAAUGUGAUUUCAGAUCAAUUGUCAGAUGCGGAUCGGAUGCCUUAUUCCUCAAAAUAGGUUUUUAUUCAAAGAUGGUUACACGAACAUCUUCUAUGCCUUAAUAGAUUGAUAAAUUUGUAAAUGAAUUGGUUUUGCUAUCUGAUUGUUUCGAAUGUUCGUGCAGCUGCUGCUUUACAGGCCUUAACAGGAAGCUAGGUUGAAUUUACCGCCGAGCUGGAAUACUGGAGAUCCUUGUAGCAACAGCUGGGAAGGAAUUACCUAUAGAAAUUCUCGUUUGUUGGCAUAACAUUGGCAAAUAUGGAUUUGAUUGGUCAGUUGUCUGGAGAUCUUGCAACUUUGUCAGAACUCCGGAUUCUGUAGGUUUUGAUAUUCCACUUACCUGAUAUGAUGCAAUUGAAUUAGCAAAAGUUUGUGAAGCUUCUUCUCUCUAUACAACUCGUUGGGGUUUGAAGAUUUGACAAUUACUGGAUUAGAAGGUGGAAGAAUUUCUUGCGAAUUUGAUCGAUUCAGUACAUGUCAGUUAAAUAGCAGAUCUUCAUAGCAGAUUUUCGAUGUCUACUGCUGCCUGCAUGUUUUUGAAUUUUGUUGAAGUACAUAUAUUUUCUCCAAACCCGUACACUCAAGAGGAGAUCAAUGAUGUUCGAGAAAAAUGGAGUAGAUAUUUUAUUAGAAGUUGUUUGUAGUCAUUUUCUAGUUUUCAGAGAUAGAAAUUAGGUUAUUUUUUGGAAUACAAUUAUUUACAAUUGUACGUUGAACCAACUUUCUUGUUUGAAUUAAUACAAAAAUAUUUUCGCAAUUCUGCAAAUCUCAGCUCUAUUUAUUAUUAUUUUGAAUUUAUUACGUACGUAGAAAUAAUUUAAAUUAGCGAGAACAAAAUUAAAAAAAACUAAAAACAUAAUACACACUUUUAGGUGUCGCCUCCUAUAAUUACAUGUGACUCCUUAUGGUUAAUUAAUAUAUAUUUUUUUUUAAAUAAUACUUUCGGUGUCGCCUUUUGGUAUAAUAGGCGACUCAAAAUGGGUAAAAACUUUUAAAAAAUAAUUCGGAAAAUACUUUUUGUAUCGCCUGUAACAUUAAGAGGCGACUCUAAAGGUAAUUGGCUUAAUAAAAAUAAUUGUGCAAAACAUCUUUCGUGUCGCCUCUUAGUAUAUUAGGCGACUCGAUUAUUAACAAAUUUAAUAAAAAUGUUCGAAAAAAUUAGAGGCGACUCGAUUAUUAACAAACUUCAGAAAGAAGGAAUUCUAGAACCAUUUGACUUUAGUGGAUUUUGGUAAAUGCGAAUCAUGCUUACUUAGGAAAAUGACAAAGCAACCUUUCUCUAAAGUUGGACAAAGAGUAAAUGAUCCAUUGGGAUUAAUCCAUACAGAUGUAUGUGGAUCAAUGAGUUCAAAUGCUAGAGGUGGUUUCAGCUACUUUAUCACUUUUACUGAUGACUUCAGUAGAUAUCGUUAUGUCUACCUAAUGAAGCAUAAGUAUGAGUCCUUUGACAAAUUCAAGGAACUUUAGAGUGAAGUAGAGAAUCAACUAGUCAAGAAGAUUAAAGCACUGCGGUCUGAUAGAGGCGGUGAAUAUCUGAGCUAUGAAUUUACUGACCAUCUGAAAGAUUGUGGAAUCUUGUCAGAAUUGACUCCUCCUGGGACACCUCAAUGGAAUGGUGUGUCAGAACGGAGGAACAGGACCUUGCUAGACAUGGUUUGAUCAAUGAUGGGUCAGGCCGAGCUUCCAAUAGAAUUUUGGGGACAUGCACUAAACACAGCUGCACUCACACUAAAUAAAGCUCCGUCUAAAGUUGUCGAAAAGACUCCAUAUGAGUUAUGGUUUGGAAAGCCUCCAAAAGUGUAUUUUCUUAAGAUUUGGGGUUGUGAAGUAUACGUCAAACGAUUAAUUUCAGACAAACAUCAAGAAAUUUGACAAAUGUAUCCUUGUGGGCUACCCAAAGGUAACAAAGGGGUAUUACUUCUAAAAUACAUCUGAGAACAAGGUGUUUGUUUCUCGAGAUGGUAUCUUUUUGGAAAUUAAUCACAUUUCCAAAAUGACAAGUGGGAGAAAAGUAGACCUCGGAGAAAUUCGAGUCGAACAACAAACUCUAGAGAAUGCUCAAGAUGACAUUCAGGAUGAAGCUCAGAGAUCUUUAGAAGUAUCUGGUGAGAAUCAAGGACCAUCUAGAAAUGUAACCCCGCGGAGAUCGCAGAGAUAUAGAUCUCGACAGGAAAGGUACUUAGGUAUUUUGACGAACGAGAGCUAUGAAGUUCUAUUACUUGAAAGUGAUGAACUCACGACUUACAAACAAGCUAUGACGAGCCCUAACUCCAAGCAAUGGAAAUAAGCCAUGCAAUCUAAAUUAGACUCCAUGUCUGAAAACCAAGUUUGUGAUUUGGUCGAUUUGUCAGAUGGCUACCAAGCCAUAGGAAGCAAAUGGGUUUUCAAACUGAAAAAGGACAAGGAUGGGAAACUAGAAGUUUUCAAAGCUAGAUUGGUUGCAAAAGGUUACAGGCAAGUCCACGGUGUGGAUUACGAUGAAACCUUUUCACCAGUUGCAAUGCUAAAGUCUAAUCGGAUAAUGUUAGCAAUCGCUGCAUAUUACGAUUACGAAUAUGGCAGAUGGAUGUUAAAACCGCUUUCUUAAAGGACAUUUUAACAGAAACUGUGUUUAUGACACAGCCUGAGGGUUUUGAGGAUCCAAAGAAUGCUAAAAAGGUAUGCAAGCUUAAGAAAUCAAUCUACGGAUUGAAGCAAGCAUCAAGGAGCUGGAAUAUACGUUUUGAUGAAGCAGUCAGUGACUUUGGUUUCAUCAAGAACGCAGACGAAUCUUGUGUAUACAAGAAGGUCAGUGGGAGCAAAAUUGCUUUUCUAGUAUUAUAUGUCGACGACAUAUUACUUAUCGGAAAUGACAUUCCUAUGUUAAACUCUGUCAAGAUUUGGCUUGGGAAAUGUUUUUUGAAGAAGGACCUAGGAGAAGCACAGUACAUACUGGGCAUCAAGAUUUACAGAGAUAGAUCUAAGAAGAUGAUUGGACUCAGUCAACGCACUUAUAUCAAUAAGGUGCUUGAAAGGUUCAAAAUGGCUGACUCCAAGCGAGGCUACCUACCCAUGUCUCAUGGAAUGAAUCUAAGCAAGACUUAGUGCCCAAAAACACUAGAUGAGCGAAGACGAAUGAGUGGGAUUCCAUAUGCAUCAUUGAUUGGUCCAAUAAUAUAUGCUAUGAUAUGUACACGCCCGGAUGUUGCGUACGCACUCAGUUCUACGAGUAGAUACCAGUCAGACCCAGCAGAGGCACAUUCGACUGCUGCCAAGAACAUUCCGAAGUACCUGAAAAAGGCAUAAAGAUGAUUUCCUGGUCUAUGGUGGAGAUGAUGAAUUAAUUGUUAAAGGCUAUACGGACACAAGUUUCUAAAACGACAAAGAUGAUUUCAGAUCACAGUCUGGGUUUGUCUUCUGCCUCAACGGAGGAGCAGUAAGCUGGAAAAGUGCCAGGCAAAGCACUAUUGCGGAUUCUACAACUGAAGCGGAUUACAUUGCUGCACAUGAAGCAGCAAAGGAAGAAAUUUGGAUAAGGAAGUUCAUGGGUGAGCUUGGUGUGGUCCCCUCCAUUAAAGGACCAGUAGCUCUAUAUUAUGACAAUAAUGGAGCUAUUACACAUGCGAAGGAGCUUAGACACCACCAAAGAGUCAAACAUGUACUUCGUAGAUUUCACCUUCUACGAGAAUUCACUAGAGGAAAAAACAUCAUAAGUUGCCCUUUAAAAGUUGCUCUAAUUUGACAAGUGCAUCUUUUGACAAAAAAAAUGUUAAAAAAAAUCAAAAAUUAAAUCAUUUCCCUCCUUUUCGUGGGAAGCGCAUCUCUUAGACCUAAGAUGCUCCCUCCUUCCUCGCUGCUCCCUUUGCUCCCUCCUUCCUCGCUGCUCCUCUAAACCCAAACAACUUCUCCCGGCGAUGCCUCUGGUCAACUUCACCGAUCUCCUCUCCUCUCUUCUCUUCAGCGCCGUCGCGCUGUGACCACCGCUCCCACACCGCCUGUUGCUGUUACGCCUGAUGGAACUACUGAUAAUCCCGCUCCUCCUUUCCCUAUUGACUCCAAAAUUCAGCAGCUUACUCAGGAAGAGAAUGUGAGUAUCGACAUAGUGAAUAUGCUCGGAUGAACCCGACAGAUUUUUUGUACUGGAUGAAUGGAAACUGCUUGAAUCCAAAAUGCUCAUUAGCCAUACUAAGAGCUGCUUGGUUGGUUUCAUGUUCCCAGACAAUCGAUGCAAGUCCUGCUAAGUGCCGAGUUGCAAAACAUUUGAACUGAUGUGAAAAUUGAGUACUGCAGUGGAGUUCAACAUACAGAGGAUAUCGUUUGAAGAAGGGCAUGCUGUUGAGACUCUUGAAGAAGCCAAAUCUGCUCUCCAGCAAUUGAUAAAGAAUGGUCAGAUUUACAAUUUUCAGAAAUGAACAGAGUGAAAACUUUCUGAUCUAUUAACUAUCGUGACUAUGGCGGCGUUAUAGACGGAGGUUUUCAAAACUCCAAGGGAGGGGCCUUUUACCAAAGAGGAGUUGGAUGAAGUUCGAGACAAGUGGGCUACGUACUUCAACGAUUGUGAAAUACCUUCAGUGUAAUAAAUAGAGCAGGCUUAUAGUUAUGCGUGACUCUUACAUUAUUUUGUUAUUUAUCGAUUUAAUUAAUUACAUUUGAAUUAAUUCAGUAAUAUAUAUUAUUGGAAAUUUGAAAUUCAUAUCAUUUUUGAGGAAUGUCAAGCUGAUGUUUGAUGAAA
This is a long non-coding RNA of Spinacia oleracea (spinach), 6811 nucleotides long. RefSeq lists it as uncharacterized. NCBI's taxonomy places the organism in Eukaryota, Viridiplantae, Streptophyta, Magnoliopsida, Caryophyllales, Amaranthaceae. The transcript is spliced from 9 exons. The record is from RefSeq and is a predicted model, not a curated record.